Neolamprologus brichardi is the source of this 1369-nucleotide non-coding RNA. Lineage: Eukaryota; Metazoa; Chordata; Actinopteri; Cichliformes; Cichlidae. The record is from RefSeq and is a predicted model, not a curated record.
CCAAAUUGUCAGUCCGUUUAACUGAGGCUUUAGCAAUUAUUUUCCCACCAGCUAUCACAAUUGAUUUCUCUCUCACAACUGGUCUCUGAGCGUGUGUGAGUGGAACUUUAUUUGCUCGAUCCUACAUCGUCACAAUGACAAAAUGGCGGACAAGUUAAUAUCACAUGCUUAUUGGUCAUGUGUCCUCAAAUCCUCAGUUUUACCCAUCAUCACUUGAAGUUGCUGGUUGUCAUUGACUCUCUAGUCACCACCUUGUUGCUUUCUGUGUGGAUGGCCCUUUCAGCACCACCUUGUGGCAGUAUGCAGACUGCAGCGGUCAAGCAGGAGCCCGAGGAUUUGGACUGAUUCUGGUUCAUCUUCACUUUCAUUGUUUCCACUCUUGAAUAUGUCAGUAGUGUGUGUGUGUGCGUGUGUGUGCAUGCAUGCACUUUUUGGUGAACGAGGUCGCCACAAAACCGAGAGGUCCUGUCAGCAAGACCAUCAAGUUUGUUACAACCAGGAGGGUGAACCUGAAGAUCAAACAUCCUAAAACAUGUUACUGUUGUCGUCUGUCUACGCAAAGAUGCAAAUUAAUGGAAAUUUGCUCUGCAUGCUCUGAAUGGGGACAAUUGUCCAAAACCCAUCAGCAGUGAUUCCCCUCACUUGGAAGGAGCAUAUUGAUGGCGUCUGAAAGCAGCUGGCGCUGAAUCUUUACACUCUGAUGUCAUUUAGAGAUGGAAAGAGAGAGAAAUUUUGAGUAAUCUUUGUCUCUUUUUUAAAAACAUGGCAGUAUAAAUGACCUUCUGCCCCUGGAGAAACAGUUUUUGUUUUGUUUUUUCCUCUUGGCACUGCAUGAUGUCAUUGAAAAGGGACUUCCUUUUAUGGACACCAGUUUCUAGUGUUGGGACAGGCUCCAGCCCCCCUUUACUGCAUCAGCUGUUCCUGUUGUCUAUCCCUCUACAAUGUUUCUGUCUGUCUUCUAGGUCUGCUUUCAGGCCAACAAUCUGCUGGAUCUCGAAGACUUUGACCAUCAGAUGAGUGCAGCAGACUUUCGAGAUGGAAACUGAAGGGAAGUCCUAUUCCUUUGACCUUCAUUCUUCUCCUUGUACUGUACUUUUCACCAGAGGUCAUCAGGUUAUGUACUCGACUCUUAGAUUCCUCUAUGAUUUUGACAGCACGGUCACCUUUCAGAAACAGGAGAAAAUUUUCUCCUGUUUAUUUGUACAUAGUGUUUCUUUUUGAUUAACUGUGAACUUUAAAGCCCUCGGUAUCCUCUGCUGUAAAACUGUAGCAUUUAAAAUGUCAUUCUGCUUGCUUCAUGAGAAAUGAUCAUCAUAAAUGACUGUUUGGAUUCAUUUUAUCAGUAUAAUAAAUGCUUGUAUUAAAAUGA